CUGUCACCGCCGAGUCGCGCGCGUGCAACAUCUGCAACACCUGUUGGGUUUCUUUGGGGGGGGGACUAAUUGACAGCACGUGUCGUGCGCGAGCCCAGCCGCCGCUCGGGGGUCAGUGUUAAAUAACGUGGCUUGUCCGUGUCCGGUACCCUAACGACAAAAACACCCGUUUGGUCCCGGUUGGCUGAUGAACCGAGGCAGGGGAUGUGAAAGCGGACAGUGCAGAUCCCGUGAACGUGACACUCGACUCGUUUACAGUCGGUGUCACCGCGCGAAGCUUCAACGGAGAGCACGUACCUGCGGUGAGCAGCGACCGUCCGCCGCUCGUCCGUGACUCGGGCAGAUGGAUGCAGCAGGAAGCCCUCAGCGUUAACACAGCCAACCUGGUGCUGUCGAGCCCCAGCUGCUGCAGGAUCGCCCUGACCUGCAGCAGCGCCAGACGAUCGCUGUGGAGCAGGAAGGGUGGGGGUGGGUGGGAGAGGCAUGUCAGAGGUCAGCCAACAGCAGCAGAGUCACCGGAUCCCUCACAGCUGUUCCCAGAGGCCAAGGAACUUGGUCUCGAAGAUGCCCCUGGUCUUCAGCGUCUCGGAGAUCUGUCCGCGGAAGAGGAAGCCACGCUUGGUCAGAUCGAUCAAAAUCUGCCUGACGAUCUCUCCCAGGGAUGGACCUGACGAAGGUGGGCAGCAUCUUGACGGUGGAGGUGGCGUUCGUGUCCCGGCCGAGCCCGCCCUCCAUCUCCCGGCGGAACCGGUUCAUGAUGUCCUUCAGCGUCUCGUCCGAGAAACGCAUGGAGUACAGUUUUCCACCAGCACAUGAACACAACAGACAUUUUUGAAUCUUAAUGGAGCGAACUGCAGAAUAAAGGAGUCUCAAAAGUCCACUGGCACAGUGUGCGUUUGUAAAACGGUGUGGACGUGAACACAAACCCAAAGCUCAUUCCUUAAUGUGGCCCUGAGAGGACACAGGCUUGGUGAACUUUCCUUCUCUCGAGGAAUGCUGUCACCCAGUUACCACGGGCCUAAUUCACCAGAGGACACGUGGAAAAAAACGCUGCACCGUGACAUCACCCGUGACAUCAUGAAUCAUCCACCUCUGCCUCUGACUCCGCCUCCUCCUGGGAACAUCAUGCCACUCCCUCUCUCUGGACCUGAGGUCGGUUUCUCUUUGGCGUGGCCACGUUCCUCUGAGCUGCUGCUAAUGAAUUCACGUCGUCUUUCCCCGGAGGCAAUAAAAGAACAGGGGGAGCGUUCACGACUUUAUCCCCAACAGCCGCUCACAGACACCUGUCAGCUUCCGACGCCCUUGGCAACCGACGCUCCGGGAACCGCUCCGGUCCGUCUCCAGAUCGUUGCUGCCCACAGCCCAUAGUCCAGGACGCCCCACAUCCGAACCCUCCUGACCCCCUGAACAAUCUACAAUAGGAUCAGAUCUAUACGAGAGUUCGUCACGGCCUGCUCCAUCCAUCACUUCCCAAACGCUGCAUCCUCUCCUCUCCUCUCCCAGCCUGAUCCGCCCCACAGGCUCGUGUGAACACUUGACGUGCAGCAAACCGUGAACCGGCAUCCGACCGGCUGCUGCGGCCGCCGCCGCUCACACGACUCCCUUUCACUCAACCCACUCACCUUUUUGAGUUGAUCAUCCUUCAACUCGGUGAAGUAGUAGGCCAGGAGCUGAGCCGCUAUCAUCCUGCCUGCACGUCCUCCAGGAGCUGUCAGCGACUACGGGCUGGUGGGAGAGCGAGCGAGCGAGCGAGAGAGAGAGAGAGAGAGAGAGAGAGGAGGCUGCCGUUCCCCCCCCACAGUGUGAUCCCUCUUUAUCCUGGACGUGGAGCAGGAAGCAGGCCGGAGCCGAGCGCCGUGACAAGGCAAGGUUAAAGGGGGGAAAGAAGUCUGGUGAAACAGGAGUGCAGCAGCCAGUCGUGCCUGCUAGUCUGCGACAGGCACACACACAUGAACACACACGAGCACACACACACACACACACACACACACACUAGUACAUGCGAACACACACAGAGGCUGGUUUUGACCGUGUCUCCUCCCUCUGAGCUGCUAGCUCCCUGUUAGCUCUGGGGAGAUGCAGCAACUCUGCACUGGACUGGUGGUUCUAUUACACCCUGCCCCCACGAGCACUGCGAUUGGCCGGCGUGAAAGAUAGAGGGCGAAUGGGAGGGGGACAUGAGAGGAGGGGGCUUCUCCCACAGCAGAGAGGAGGGAGGGAGGGGGGAGGACUGUGAGCUGAAGGAGGAAGCUGCCUCUGCAUGAUAACCCGCCGCUCGCUCUCUCUCAGUGGCUCGGAGACUCCUCCCCCCCCCCCCCGGCCGGCACGUCUCACCACGUUGCCAUGGCACCCAGGGGUGGACGUGCAGAGGGACAGGGCGACCACGCGAUGAUGUCAUCAUCAUGCCCCUUCCUGUGCUGCCGCAUCACGCCCGGCCAUCAGCUCAGCUCCAGUCCAGACAGCAUCAGAUGCAAAGCUGCGACGCACAGAGGAGCAGGUCUCGUGACGGGACGGGCUCUUAUCUCCUGCGACAGUCCGACAGUCACGAGCCCUUCAGCAGGACCACGUACAGACCAGCACGUACAGUAAUCGCUUGAUAACUGCAAUACUUAAACACCUCGCUGUCAACGACGGAACAUGGGUUUUCGCUCCUGACCUUGAGAAGGUCUAUGAAGAUGUAUGAAGAUGUAUGAAUGCAUCUGAUCUUAUUUUCUUGUGUAGUUCCGGGUUUCAAAUCCUACACGAGCCUCCGACACGUGUCCUCAGUGGAGAGGAAACUAGGUGUAACAUACAUCUGACUUCACUCCCAAGUGGGACCUGCAGAGACUUAAAGGUACCACGACGUGGAACAUCAGAUUUCCAUGUCUAUUUUAAUAAUUUAUAAUAAAGAAAGUCCCUGUGCUGUAUAAAUACUGUGAAAGUAUCAAUCCACACGGCCCUUAUUCAGAAACUGUUUUUCAAAACGAGCCGUCAAGACUUCCUGAAUUUUGUGAUGUGACAACUGUACAAUUAUCAACACGACAACAAGAAGUCCCGUGUCGCGGAGCUCACUGCCAGAAGUCAAAAAGCGCUGCACAAUCAUUCCCAAGGACAGAAAUAUUAGAGACAAGUGGCAAAAAUUUUGAACAUUUUAGUUUGUGAAUUUGAAUUUGAACUCAUGAAGACAGUUUUUACGAGAGCUGCGAGAGAGACAAACGUAUUAAAGGAGAUUUAAAACUA
Molecule: long non-coding RNA, 3219 nt
Organism: Scophthalmus maximus (turbot)
Lineage: Eukaryota; Metazoa; Chordata; Actinopteri; Pleuronectiformes; Scophthalmidae
Exons: 8
Source: RefSeq, a predicted model, not a curated record